RNAcentral lists this ribosomal RNA (265 nucleotides) under uncultured prokaryote. RNAcentral describes it as "partial 16S ribosomal RNA". It matches the Rfam family "Bacterial small subunit ribosomal RNA", at positions 524 to 788 of the family's 1533-position model. The record is from RNAcentral.
UACGUAGGUGGCGAGCGUUAUCCGGAAUUAUUGGGCGUAAAGAGCGCGCAGGUGGUUGAUUAAGUCUGAUGUGAAAGCCCACGGGUUAACCGUGGAGGGUCAUUGGAAACUGGUCAACUUGAGUGCAGAAGAGGGAAGUGGAAUUCCAUGUGUAGCGGUGAAAUGCGUAGAGAUAUGGAGGAACACCAGUGGCGAAGGCGGCUUCCUGGUCUGUAACUGACACUGAGGCGCGAAAGCGUGGGGAGCAAACAGGAUUAGAUACCCU